This 1197-nucleotide long non-coding RNA is filed under the name Equus asinus (donkey). Its description in RNAcentral is "lncRNA (ENSEASG00005034119.1)". The record is from RNAcentral. Lineage: Eukaryota; Metazoa; Chordata; Mammalia; Perissodactyla; Equidae.
CCCAGGUCAAGGCCACACUGACAACAAUCAUAACAAGUCUUUCAGAUGGAUGAAGCUGCAUUUUCUUCCCUGAACUUCAAUGUCCUGGAAUCAAAGAAACCAACUUCAGCCUCCUCAGCUCCAUCAGCCAUAGAAACAGUUUCUUCAGAAGUAAAAAAGAAGUAACGCAACCUGCCCUGUUUGCUGCACUGCUGACUUACUCCAAGCUUGUCAUCCCCAUCACUGGAAGGAUCCCUUUACCUUUAGGGAAGAGAGGAAGAAGCCUCCCGCCGACCCCUUAUCUUCAAAGUGAGGCACCUCCAGCCUGCCAGGUCAUAGCCCCUCCCUUCAGUGUCAAUAAAUGAAAAGCUACAUCCAGGAGUCUGUAGGUAACCCAACCUUCCCAGUCUUUGAAUAUUUGGCAAAGCAGACUUUGGGAGAGAGUUGCCAGAACCUCCCAUCUCUCCCCUUCUCCUGACCUAGACUUGUUUUAAACUUAUCUAUUAAAUGCACACUCACCUUCCUGCUCCAGUCAUGUCCUACAGGAGACUAUGAUGAAUUUGCCGUAAGCUUUAGAGAUACUUCCUUAUCCACUGAAAUGCACGUGCCAGAAAAGAACAGAGAAAAAGCACAAGCUUAUACUGCAUCACUUCUUCAAUUGGUUUAAUGAGAAGCGUGUCUAAAGUAACUACAAUAAAUAAUUCACGGAUAUCACAAAUGUUUACUGAGAAUCUAUUAUGUGACAGGUACUUUUAUAGGCCCCAGGAAUUCAAAAACGAGACACAGAGGCCAUGCCUAGAAGACACUUACAGUACAUUCACCAGGCAUUCUCAGGAAAGCAUUAUAAGUGCUACAAGAGGGGUGAACGCUGGGAACUGCAGGAUCAUAAUCUGGGGUUGGUGUGUCAUCAUAGGAUUACAGAAGAGGUAAUGGUUGAACCAAGGCCUGAGGGAUAACUAAAACUGACAGGAAAAUAAAGAGGUAUGACAGGGGUGUUCUACGCAGACAGACUAAGCACAAAUUCCCAGAUGCUAUGGAGAGCAGAGGAGGUCUUGUGAAUUUGUUAACACAACACAAAUUUGGGAGCCAUGCUGAAGAGACCAAAGUGCACCCUGGGGGCAAUAAGGAACAAUUAAAGGACUUUAAUAAUGGAAAAAGAUAUGAUCAGAAUAUUGUUUUCUAAGACCACUCUAUAUGCACUGUGGAGCAUGAAUUAGA